CUUUUGGGUAGUAAUUGUGUUGGCUUUGGAUUGUUUAUGUUUGGCGUGUGUCUUUCUGGGUGGUAACCGGCUUGGUUUGCUGCAUAAAUUUAAAUUGUGGAUGUUAGUUAUGGGGCAAAUCUCCAAAAUAGCACAUUUCUAAGUUUAAAUCACAAAAAUAGCACUAAAAACUAAAAUGACCAAAAUAGCAUUUAACUCUAAACCCUAAACCCUAAACUCUAAACCCUAAACCCUAAAUCCU
This 241-nucleotide long non-coding RNA is filed under the name Brassica napus (rape). Its description in RNAcentral is "long non-coding RNA (BNAP_LNC021939)". Lineage: Eukaryota; Viridiplantae; Streptophyta; Magnoliopsida; Brassicales; Brassicaceae. The record is from RNAcentral.